This 392-nucleotide ribosomal RNA is filed under the name uncultured Limnohabitans sp. RNAcentral describes it as "bacterial SSU rRNA". It matches the Rfam family "Bacterial small subunit ribosomal RNA", at positions 1 to 401 of the family's 1533-position model. The record is from RNAcentral. Lineage: Bacteria; Pseudomonadati; Pseudomonadota; Betaproteobacteria; Burkholderiales; Comamonadaceae.
CAUGGAGUUUGAUCCUGGCUCAGAUUGAACGCUGGCGGAAUGCUUUACACAUGCAAGUCGAACGGUAGAGGGGGCAACCCCUCGAGAGUGGCGAACGGGUGAGUAAUAUAUCGGAACGUGCCCAGUCGUGGGGGAUAACGUAGCGAAAAUUACGCUAAUACCGCAUACGAUCUAAGGAUGAAAGCGGGGGAUCGCAAGACCUCGCGCGAUUGGAGCGGCCGAUAUCAGAUUAGCUAGUUGGUGAGGUAAAGGCUCACCAAGGCGACGAUCCAUAGCUGGUCUGAGAGGACGACCAGCCACACUGGAACUGAGACACGGUCCAGACUCCUACGGGAGGCAGCAGUGGGGAAUUUUGGACAAUGGACGCAAGUCUGAUCCCAGCCCAUUCCGCG